Molecule: ribosomal RNA, 545 nt
Filed under: bacterium enrichment culture clone 74(2012)
Lineage: Bacteria
Description: bacterial SSU rRNA
Rfam family: Bacterial small subunit ribosomal RNA
Source: RNAcentral
GAGUUUGAUCCUGGCUCAGAACGAACGCUGGCGGCGGGCCUAACACAUGCAAGUCGCACGAGAACGUCCUGCUUCGGUGGGGCAAGUAAAGUGGCGCACGGGUGAGUAACACGUGAGUAAUCUAUCUAUGGGUUGGGGAUAACGCACCGAAAGGUGUGCUAAUACCGAAUAAGACCACGAUGGUUGCGGCCAUUGCGGUCAAAGGGGGCCUCUCCUUGGAAGCUUCCGCCUAUUGACGAGCUCGCGUCCCAUUAGCUAGUUGGUGAGGUAACGGCUCACCAAGGCCGCGAUGGGUAGCUGGUCUGAGAGGAUGAUCAGCCACACUGGGACUGGAACACGGCCCAGACUCCUACGGGAGGCAGCAGUGAGGAAUCUUGCGCAAUGGGGGAAACCCUGACGCAGCCACGCCGCGUGGGUGAAGAAGGCCUUCGGGUCGUAAAGCCCUGUCAGGUGGGAAGAACCGCAUUGGACUGAAUAAGCCCUUUGCCUGACGGUACCACCAAAGGAAGCACCGGCUAACUCCGUGCCAGCAGCCGCGGUAAUAC